Molecule: long non-coding RNA, 1922 nt
Organism: Triticum aestivum (bread wheat)
Lineage: Eukaryota; Viridiplantae; Streptophyta; Magnoliopsida; Poales; Poaceae
Exons: 2
Source: RefSeq, a predicted model, not a curated record
GUUGCUGCUAGACGUGAGGUCCUCCGUCCACUCGUUCCCCAACCGACAACGGCACAUAGACAGACAGCUACGUGAUCCAAUCCAAGCCGUGCAUCACACGAACCGACUCCAUCAUCGACAAUCCCAUCAACCAUCCCACCUUUUAUAUACGCCUUUCCCCUCGAUCGCCCCGUUCUCUCCUGCUCCCAUCGCCGGUCGCAGCCUCGUCUUCGUUUCGUCGUCACAAUCGCGUGAGGUGCACCUAAUCUAAUCUUGUUGUUCCUCCUCUUCCUUUCGGUUUUCGAAUUAGAAUCCAGAGUAUUUCAGAUUACAGUAAGGUUGUGUCGUGAUUGCGUAGAUAUAAUUUCGCUGGUUAGCAAGGCUAGAUCUAGAUCCAUACAUGUUUGUCUCCUUCGUUACUUUCACAAACUCCCUAAUUCCUUUUCAUGCAUGAGCCAAUAUAUUCUCUAGACGAUUUUCUGUACGCUGUUCAGAUAUCGACAGGUGGUGUGUUCUCUUUGAUUCAGGAUCUUGUGUCAUCGGAAGAGGUGGUUCCUAUGGUGCCUCUCCUGUAGAUGUCUAUCCCUUGACCCAAGUUCGUCUGAGGUUUUCUGGCGAUCCACUUGUGACGCCUGAAUCAGUUGAUGCGCCAGAUCCGUCAGUUUAUGUUGUAUCCGGGCACGCCGUCGGUUCAUCUUCACCUUCUGAUUGAAGAAGGCUGCUUGCUGCUGUACACAAGGCGCCCGAGAUCAUCCGAUUUAUGGUUCAUGUUCACGGUUCCUUUAGCUUACAAGAUGAUGCUUGCCUGUCUCCAAACAUCACAGAAAGGGGGUGGGGCCGGGUUUUAUUUUCUUCCAAUCAAAUCAAGCCACGUAGGCGGGAGCACGGAUGGGAGCAUGGGAAGGGAGCAGGCAAGUCUCAUCCCAUCUUAAGUGCACCGCGAUCCUUCAUACCAAAUAUAUCGACAGGUGCAGCGAUAACUACGUACUGAAGAUCAAUGAUAACUGCAUAGUCAAGAUCAAUGAUAACUACAAACCAAGGUACUUCUAGCUGCUUCUAUCAGGCAAGCACUUCGUUAUAUCAAUUUAAAUUUGCAUAUCGCACGUCAUCCCAACGCAAAACAUAACCAUGCGGAACAACCAUAUUUUGGUUUGAUACAAGCUCGUUCAAGCGCCGGAGGCAAUUGGUCAUCCUAUUUAUGCUUCAUGUUUGCUGAUCAAAUCCAGAUAUGGCGUUCAUGGUUCCUUUUGCUGACAAAAUGAUGCUUGCGUGUGUCCAAACAUUGCAGAAAGGUAACUGUGUUGGUAAGCAGAUUGAUGCGCAUGUGUUGUAUUACUUGUUGUACUACAUUUGUAGGUAGGACGGUCUUUGCCAUGUCGGGUGUACUCGCUUGGCAGGCCAUGAGACAAUAAAACUUAUAUUUUGUUGGUCUUUGCGGGGUGGAGAUCGCGCGGGGAACUAUCAAUUUGUUUUAUUUUGCCUGGGUUCUCCACCUUGUCAUGGUGUCUCUGUCCUUGCCCUGUGUUGUUGAUUCCACAAGAUGCUCUUAAAUUGCACCACGAUCCUACAUAGUAAAUGUAUCGACAGGCCUGGGUGCGGCGAUAACUACGUACUGAAGACAAACGAAGGUACAUCUAACUGCUUCUAUCGGGCAAGCGCUUCGCUACAUCAAUUUAAAUUUGCAUAUGCACGUCAUCCCAACUCUUCGUCAAUGAACAGCCUUAUUUUGGCUUGAUAUGAGAUCUAUCAUACAUGUAAAUAUUUUUCUCUUGCACCCCACGAGAGAUCAUCAGCAUUCUUGUUCAAUGUUACAAUGUCUUCUUUUAGAAAAAAGCUGUUUGCAGGCUUUUCGAGAAGCUUUAUUUUCUCUGCAAAUUUUUUAUUGUACAAUGGUACCAGCUUUGUACCUUUGUCAUAAUUCAACUAUUUCCUGUUAGUUCUCA